Molecule: ribosomal RNA, 486 nt
Filed under: uncultured bacterium
Lineage: Bacteria
Description: partial 16S ribosomal RNA
Rfam family: Bacterial small subunit ribosomal RNA
Source: RNAcentral
AUUGAACGCUGGCGGCAUGCCUUACACAUGCAAGUCGAACGGCAGCACGGGUGCUUGCCCCUGGUGGCGAGUGGCGAACGGGUGAGUAAUACAUCGGAACAUGUCCUGUAGUGGGGGAUAGCCCGGCGAAAGCCGGAUUAAUACCGCAUACGAUCUACGGCUGAAAGCGGGGGACCUUCGGGCCUCGCGCUAUCGGGUUGGCCGAUGGCUGAUUAGCUAGUUGGUGGGGUAAAGGCCUACCAAGGCGACGAUCAGUAGCUGGUCUGAGAGGACGACCAGCCACACUGGGACUGAGACACGGCCCAGACUCCUACGGGAGGCAGCAGUGGGGAAUUUUGGACAAUGGGCGAAAGCCUGAUCCAGCAAUGCCGCGUGUGUGAAGAAGGCCUUCGGGUUGUAAAGCACUUUUGUCCGGAAAGAAAUCCUUGGCCCUAAUACGGUCGGGGGAUGACGGUACCGGAAGAAUAAGCACCGGCUAACUACGUG